Trachymyrmex cornetzi is the source of this 330-nucleotide long non-coding RNA. RefSeq lists it as uncharacterized. The transcript has 3 exons. The record is from RefSeq and is a predicted model, not a curated record. NCBI's taxonomy places the organism in Eukaryota, Metazoa, Arthropoda, Insecta, Hymenoptera, Formicidae.
CAGAAGUGUACUCAUCCAUAGCUCUCUUGCUGUCACCUGGAAAUAUAAAAUAAAUAUAAAGAUAGUGCAAUGUAAAAGAUAAAAGCUUACCGACGUAAGGGACGUAUUUGAUGACGAUACAGUGGUCCGGCUUCUCUCCAGGCUUAUAGAGAAUCUUGUUGGAUUCCACCAUAUCAUCUACAACGUUACUCUUGGAGAUCUGUGUGUGAGAUCGAUUAUGUAUGUACAAGUUAAAAGAAAAGGCGAGGGGGGAGGAAGAAAGGAGGAGAAAGCGAGAGAGAAACAUAUGUAUAAUAAAAAUCAAAUAUAUCAUACAUUUUCAUUUUCUUC